Molecule: non-coding RNA, 185 nt
Filed under: Desulfocarbo indianensis
Lineage: Bacteria; Pseudomonadati; Thermodesulfobacteriota; Desulfarculia; Desulfarculales; Desulfarculaceae
Source: RNAcentral
AUUUGACUCCACCGAUGCGGUGCCGGGUUAAGGCUUUGAUAGGGAAAGCGGUGCGAAUCCGCUACGGGCCCGCCACUGUGAUUGGGUGCUCGAGCCGCCAGGAUGCCACUGGGCUAACCGCCCGGGAAGGUUCGGCAAGGGCAAUACCCAUAAGUCAGGAGACCUGCCGCAUCGGCUGUCAUUGA